Nomascus leucogenys (northern white-cheeked gibbon) is the source of this 162-nucleotide small nucleolar RNA. The record is from Ensembl. Lineage: Eukaryota; Metazoa; Chordata; Mammalia; Primates; Hylobatidae.
UGUCUCUGACCUGGUUAAAGUGGCAUCUGGUUGGUGGCACUUAUCUCAAAUCACACAGACAUAAGGCAACCUCUUGUCUAUCCCAGCUUGGCUUUUUUUUUUUUUUUUUUUUUUGACAGGGUCUCACUCUGUCACCCAGGCUACAGUGCCUUAGUACGAUCA